GGGCUCGUCGCCCUGAGCCCCUGACCAGUUCUUCCCCGGCUCUUCCAAAACCUAACCCUCAACCCCAACCACGCCGCCGCCACCACCAACCACUCGACCGCAGCGCCGGCUUCGUCCCCAAACACAGACGCCGCCGACCGCCUAGUCGUCGCCGAGCACCCUUCUCUAACAAGGAAACCCUUCAUCGGUUCGUCCCCAUCCCCCGCGCACCCAGCGCCUGCUUUCUCUCGAGGAAAGCCGUCGUCCGCCCUCCAUCCCCACCACAAUAACGACCUCCUCCACAAGUUUCCUCCGCCGAGCAGGCCUCCUCCUACUCCUCAAGCUUUCUCCCCCGAGCAGGGCCUCCUCCUCCACGAGCAUCCUUCCCUGAGCACUAAGUUGGGGUCGCCUCCUGUUUCCCUCACCCGAGCAGCGGGCCUUCCUGUACAGCCCCCCUCCCGAGAAGCUCCACCUCCUCUACAUCCUCCCCCAGGUGCAGCGCCGCCUCCUUGCUCACCGAGAGCACUUGGCCGCUGAGAGUGACUUAUAAGUUCAUGGCAAAAGCAGCAACACGAGUACGCAACCACAAGCAAGCUGAGGAGUUACAUAUAUGCAUAUCUUAUGCUCAUUUCACCAAAGUUUGGCCAACCUUUUGGUGUCUAUUAUUUGUGUACGUUUCAUCGCUUUAGAAGUAAUAUUCAAUCCAAAGCUUUUCUUUAAUAGAGCAAUUCAGCUAGUAUGUUUGCAAGCAAAUUUAUGCCAGGACAAGUACUAGUAGUGGAGCCAAGAACAUAUUAGGGCACGAUUGUUAAUGGAGUAUUCACGCAGGUUCUUGUCAAACUUUGCUAUCAAUUUAUUGCCAUAUCCCCCGGCAUGCAAAUUCGCUCAAAGUCAUUUAAAAUCUCGGAGUUUCCAGGGAACACAUAUGGAACUGGGAUAUAUGGGUUUCUACAAGUUUUGCGCUUCAUAUUUCAACUAGUUCCAGUCAAAGCCAAUUUCAUGUUUCUGGUUACAAGAAAAAUCAGUUAACACUUAACUAGGUUUCAACAAGUUUCUUCAUACAAACAGAUUUCUGGUUAUCAGCAAAAUCAGUUAGCACUUAAGUAGAUUUCAGCUAGUUUCAUAUAGGUGUUGUUUUGCAAUAUGCUUGACCAAGGCCACCAUAGUUACUAUGAAUGUCUACAUUCAGUUAAACCUAAGAUACACCCUUUGUUCUCAGGAUUUUGUUAGCAGCUUGUUAAUAAUGCACUUGCCUCUAAAUUGUCAGUUACCUCUGAGUUGAUACAUUUUACUGUCUCGAGAUUCUUUUGGCGUCCCUGAACAGUUUCCGCUGAUCCAAAUUAUCAUCCCUCAUGUUAUGGGCCUCAAAGAGUAGCUGAAAGACUCAUUUAAGCUGCAAGUGUAUAAGUCUAGCAAAUGCAGUAAUGUGACCACAAGCCAGUUGAGGAGGUUUCUCAAGAUACACAAGUUGUUGGAGGUUUGGAAGAUCUACAAGUUGCUGGAGGUUUUGAAGGUCUGACAAGUUGCUGGAGUGAUGAUAUAUAUGUAAUAUGUCUUGUUUGUCGAACCUCCAUAUAUUGACAAGUUUUACACUGGUCAUUUUGGUGGUUGUUUCAGCAGACAAGCCAUUGUAUGCCAAUUUUGGUUGUGUGGCACGAUUUCUUUACCUUAAACAUAUGUACUUUGCAUUUUGAGGCAUAAUGUCUAUAUAUGUAUGGUUCAUGCAUGUGUUAAAAACAUAUGUUUUUGGUCUAUUUAUGUUAUUGCAUGAGGUCUUACAUGUAAUCUGAUUGAACAUAUGUGUAAGUUGUGUGAUC
Long non-coding RNA from Triticum dicoccoides, 1796 nucleotides. RefSeq lists it as uncharacterized. The record is from RefSeq and is a predicted model, not a curated record. The transcript has 5 exons. NCBI's taxonomy places the organism in Eukaryota, Viridiplantae, Streptophyta, Magnoliopsida, Poales, Poaceae.